GAUCGAUGUAAAUUUCGUACCCCGACUCGUUUUUCCACGCUGAUUCCUCCUGUGGCCAAAUCGGAGCCAAAAUCCCGGCCAAACGGCUGGAAUGCACGGCCGAAGCCCAGCGGCGCCGCCGCGCCCUUCUCGGUUUUUGCCUCCGAUGAGGCACUUCCCGGCCUCCGUUUGAUGCAAUUUUUAUAUCACCGUGAUCACCACUCUUUUCUCUACAGGUUGACCAGAGCCGAAUCACCAAAACACGAACCUCGCCGGAGAGCCGCCGCACCCGAGAGCGCCGCCACCGGUAAGCCCCGUUUUUCCGUGAUUUUUUGGCCCCCCGAGGGCCCUAGGGUUGUUUUCUCGCAAGGACCGAUGCGAGUG
RNAcentral lists this long non-coding RNA (363 nucleotides) under Carica papaya (papaya). RNAcentral's name for it is "long non-coding RNA (CPAP_LNC016493)". Lineage: Eukaryota; Viridiplantae; Streptophyta; Magnoliopsida; Brassicales; Caricaceae. The record is from RNAcentral.